This 345-nucleotide ribosomal RNA is filed under the name uncultured bacterium. RNAcentral describes it as "partial 16S ribosomal RNA". It matches the Rfam family "Bacterial small subunit ribosomal RNA", at positions 338 to 697 of the family's 1533-position model. The record is from RNAcentral.
CCUACGGGAGGCAGCAGUGGGGAAUAUUGGGCAAUGGGCGCAAGCCUGACCCAGCAACGCCGCGUGAAGGAAGACGGCUUUCUGGUUGUAAACUUCUUUUCUCAGGGACGAAGAAAGUGACGGUACCUGAGGAAUAAGCCACGGCUAACUACGUGCCAGCAGCCGCGGUAAUCCGGAGGGGGCAAGCGUUAUCCGGAUUUAUUGGGUGUAAAGGGCGUGUAGGCGGGAGCGAAAGUUAGAGGUGAAAACUCAGGGCUCAACGCUGGGCCUGCCUUUGAUACUGUGUUUCUUGAGUGUUGGGGAGGUAGACGGAAUGCAUGGUGUAGCGGUGAAAUGCGUAGAGAU